Molecule: non-coding RNA, 135 nt
Organism: Triticum urartu
Lineage: Eukaryota; Viridiplantae; Streptophyta; Magnoliopsida; Poales; Poaceae
Source: Rfam
UUACUACUCCCUCCGUCCCAAAAUUCUUGUCUUAGAUUUGUCUAAAUACGGAUGUAACAAGUCAUGUUUUAGUAUUAGAUACAUUCGCAUCUAGACGAAUCUAAAACAAGAAUUUUGGGACCAAGGGAGUACCAA